AGGACCCUUUAAUUAGAUCAUACCAACCCACUUUGUGGAGUCCUGGUGAUUCAUAGUAACCGAACGGAUCGCAAUUGGCUUCGGCCCCGCGAUAGAUCUUUCAAGUUUCUGACCUAUCAGCUUUCGACGGUAGGGUAUUGGCCUACCGUGGCAGUGACGGGUAACGGGGAAUUAGGGUUCGAUUCCGGAGAGGGAGCCUGAGAAACGGCUACCACAUCUAAGGAAGGCAGCAGGCGCGCAAAUUACCCAAUGAAAACAGUUUCGAGGUAGUGACGAGAAAUAACAAUACAGGGCAUUUUAUGCUCUGUAAUUGGAAUGAUGGGAAUGUAAAACCCUUCCAGAGUAACAAUUGGAGGGCAAGUCUGGUGCCAGCAGCCGCGGUAAUUCCAGCUCCAAUAGUGUAUAUUAGAGUUGUUGCAGUUAAAAAGCUCGUAGUUGGAUUUCUGCUGUGGUCAUCCGGUACCGCCCGUAUGGGUGCGCACCUGGUUUGGCUGCGGCUUUCUUCCUGUAGCCGUCCGCGCUUAAUUGCGUGUGUUGUGUUACGGAACUUUUACUUUGAGAAAAAUAGAGUGUUUCAAGCAGGCUUGUCGCCCUGAAUACUUCAGCAUGGAAUAAUAGGAUAGGACCUUGGUUCUAUUUUGUUGGUUUCUAGGACCAAGGUAAUGAUUAAUAGGGACAGUUGGGGGCAUUCGUAUUUAACUGUCAGAGGUGAAAUUCUUAGAUUUGUUAAAGACGAACUACUGCGAAAGCAUUUGCCAAGGAUGUUUUCAUUAAUCAAGAACGACAGUAGGGGGUUGGAAAGACGAUAAACCCCCCCCCC
Molecule: ribosomal RNA, 820 nt
Filed under: Eimeria sp.
Lineage: Eukaryota; Apicomplexa; Conoidasida; Eucoccidiorida; Eimeriidae
Description: SSU rRNA
Rfam family: Eukaryotic small subunit ribosomal RNA
Source: RNAcentral